Molecule: long non-coding RNA, 692 nt
Organism: Oncorhynchus keta (chum salmon)
Lineage: Eukaryota; Metazoa; Chordata; Actinopteri; Salmoniformes; Salmonidae
Exons: 4
Source: RefSeq, a predicted model, not a curated record
GGGAUGGAGCCAGGUUUCCUCCAGACGUGACGCUUGCCAUUCAGGCCAAAGAGUUCAAUCUUGGUUUCAUCAGACCAGAGAAUCAUGUUUCUCAUGGUCAGAGUCCUUUUUGCAAACUCCGAACAGGCUGUCAUGUGCUUUUUACUGAGGAGUGGCUUCAGUCUGGCCACUCUACCAUAAAGGCUUGAUUGGUGGAGUCCUUCUGGAAGGUUCUCCCAUCUCCACAGAGGAACUCUGGGGCUCUGUCAGAGAAUUCUUCCAUUUAAGAAUGAUGGAGGCCACUGUGUUCUUAGGGUAGUGACCAUGCUGGAGGUGUUACUGUACUCUACAGACUACUUAUCGGGGUAGUGACCAUGCUGGAGGUGUGUUACUCUACAGUCUACUAUCAGGGUAGUGACCAUGCUGGAGGUAUGUUACUCUACAGUCUACUAUCAGGGUAGUGACCAUGCUGGAGGUGUGUUACUCUACAGUCUACUAUCAGGGUAGUGACCAUGCUGGAGGUGUGUUACUCUACAGUCUACUAUCAGGGUAGUGACCAUGCUGGAGGUGUGUUACUCUACAGUCUACUAUCAGGGUAGUGACCAUGCUGGAGGUGUUACUGUACUCUACAUUCUACUAUCAGGGUAGUGACCAUGCUGGAGGUGUGUUACUCUACAGUCUACUAUCAGGGUAGUGACCAUGCUGGAGGUAUG